Molecule: long non-coding RNA, 348 nt
Filed under: Homo sapiens (human)
Lineage: Eukaryota; Metazoa; Chordata; Mammalia; Primates; Hominidae
Description: HSALNT0021197
Source: RNAcentral
CUUGGACUCUUUCUUCACAAGAAGCAAAGGAAAAACACACUUAAAAGUACCAGGUUCCACAUCUAUGAAGCUCCCCAGGAGGAGAAGGUAGAAACCUCUGACAACAGUGGACAUGUGGACGCUUAGGAACCAGCACCUCAAAGUCAUGGCCUCAGGAGCCCCAGAAAGGACCACGGAGGCCAAGAGGAGCGUGGAGAGAUGCACACUGUCAUCGGUCACCCUGAAACAGGCAAUGCAGGCUUGGCCAGUGAACAGUUCAGCACUACCAGGAUGGAGGGGGAUUUGAGGUCUCAGAAUUUUCUAAGCAAAAUGUGUGCCUGGAAAAGGACUCCUGCAGGCCGGGCGCGG